UAGCAUAUCAAUAAGCGGAGGAAAAGAAACUAACAAGGAUUCCCCUAGUAACUGCGAGUGAAGCGGGAAAAGCUCAAAUUUGAAAUCUGGCAGCCUUUGGUUGUCCGAGUUGUAAUCUAGAGAAGUGUUACCCGCGUUGGACCGUGUAAAAGUCUCCUGGAAUGGAGCGUCAUAGAGGGUGAGAAUCCCGUCUUUGACACGGACUGCCAAGGCUUUGUGGUAUGCUCUCAAAGAGUCGAGUUGUUUGGGAAUGCAGCUCAAAAUGGGUGGUAAAUGCCAUCUAAAGCUAAAUAUUGGCGAGAGACCGAUAGCGAACAAGUACCGUGAGGGAAAGAUGAAAAGAACUUUGGAAAGAGAGUUAAACAGUACGUGAAAUUGCUGAAAGGGAAACGCUUAAAGUCAGUCGCGUCGGCUGGGAAUCAACCUCGCUUUUGCUUGGUGUACUUUCCAGUUGAUGGGUCAGCAUCAAUUUCGACCAGUGGAUAAAGGCAGAGGGAAUGUGGCUCCUUCUGGAGUGUUAUAGCCCUUUGUUGUAUACAUUGGUUGGGAUUGAGGAACUCAGCAUGCCGUAAGGCCAGGUUUCGACCAUGUCCAUGCUCAGGAUGCUGGCAAAAUGGCUUUAAUCGACCCGUCUUGAAACACGGACCAAGGAGUCUAACAUGCUUGCGAGUGUUUGGGUGGAAAACCCUUGCGCGUAAUGAAAGUGAAAGUUGAGAUCCCUGUCGUGGGGAGCAUCGACGCCCGGACCUGAAGUUUACUGACGGAUCCGCGGUAGAGCACGUAUGUUGGGACCCGAAAGAUGGUGAACUAUGCCUGAAUAGGGUGAAGCCAGAGGAAACUCUGGUGGAGGCUCGUAGCGAUUCUGACGUGCAAAUCGAUCGUCAAAUUUGGGUAUAGGGGCGAAAGACUAAUCGA
This 915-nucleotide ribosomal RNA is filed under the name Crepidotus ehrendorferi. RNAcentral describes it as "partial large subunit ribosomal RNA". It matches the Rfam family "Eukaryotic large subunit ribosomal RNA", at positions 36 to 938 of the family's 3401-position model. The record is from RNAcentral. Lineage: Eukaryota; Fungi; Basidiomycota; Agaricomycetes; Agaricales; Crepidotaceae.